Molecule: long non-coding RNA, 859 nt
Organism: Passer domesticus (house sparrow)
Lineage: Eukaryota; Metazoa; Chordata; Aves; Passeriformes; Passeridae
Exons: 4
Source: RefSeq, a predicted model, not a curated record
GGGCUGCUCCAGCCACCACCCCAGGGGUGUUGCACAGGGCCUGCAAAGAGGGUGGAGAGUGACCAGAGCCAGUCCAGAGCUCCCCAGGCCCCUGUGCAGCUUUGGCCUUGUCCACUGACAUCUGGCAGCCAAGGCCUUACCCGACCCCCUUGCAGUGCCCAGUUCUCUAAGGGAGAGGGGAAUCCCAGCACACCAUGGAAAUUUUCUGAUCUUUGCUCCCUUCUAGAUUGGGAUCGUGAUAUGGCUUAUAUGGAAAAGCUAGUGCAUAACAGUUGGAAGACUCCAAAGCAUGGUGGAGCAAUGGAGCAAAAGUCCAUGCAGAUGGCGCCAUAUCAUACUGGAAGCAAUGGCUCUGUGUCAGAUUCUGAUGGAGGAAAGGAGGAGUUGCCAGACAUGAGCAAAGGCAUAGGAGAUGCAGCCGGCACCACAACACGUAUUCCCAAUGCCCAGGAUGGCCUCGGAAGGGGUUUCUAUCAGGAAACAGGCUACUGGCUAGCAAUACUGGCAUUUCUGCUUUGUUUGGAGCUUGUCUUCGUGUUGUGCUUGUUUGGAAUCCGGUAUUUGGAAUCGGGAAGAGAAAACAAUGCUCCUGUGCAUCGUCAGCAGAUGAGCCUAAGAACACAGGCAGCGGGAGGUUGACAGUUUAUCCCAGCUCUCCACUUCUGCCCCUAUCUGCCCUGCCAUGGCUGCAGCAGCGUCAGGAGGCCGUCCCAAAACCCACCCCUCCACAACAAGACCCUCUGCCCCUCAGCCUCCUGGUCCUGUUCCCCGGCCAGGAAUGAAGGUGGGCAUCCCCUGUCUGCCAGGGCAGGGCUUGGCCCAUAUUUCAUAUUCAAAUAAAAGAAUAAAGUUUUCACAA